GCAUAUCACUACUGUAAGUCGCUCUGGAUAAGAGCGUCUGCUAAAUGAUGUAAA
Salmo salar (Atlantic salmon) is the source of this 54-nucleotide non-coding RNA. Lineage: Eukaryota; Metazoa; Chordata; Actinopteri; Salmoniformes; Salmonidae. The record is from Rfam.